This 377-nucleotide ribosomal RNA is filed under the name uncultured eukaryote. RNAcentral's name for it is "partial 18S ribosomal RNA". It matches the Rfam family "Eukaryotic small subunit ribosomal RNA", at positions 592 to 976 of the family's 1831-position model. The record is from RNAcentral.
CAAUAGCGUAUAUUAAAGUUGUUGCAGUUAAAAAGCUCGUAGUUGGAUUUCGGGGCAGCCUGGCUGGUCCGCCGCAAGGCGAGUACUGGUCAGCCGCCCUUCCUCUCGAAAGCCCCGACUGCUCUUUACUGCAGUGGUCGGGUAGUUCGGGACGUUUACUUUGAAAAAAUUAGAGUGUUCAAGGCAGGCUAUCGCCUGAAUACAUUAGCAUGGAAUAAUGGAAGAGGACCUCGGUCCUAUUUUGUUGGUUUCUAGGGCCGAAGUAAUGAUUAAGAGGGACAGUUGGGGGCAUUCGUAUUUAAUUGUCAGAGGUGAAAUUCUUGGAUUUAUGAAAGACGAACUAGUGCGAAAGCAUUUGCCAAGGAUGUUUUCAUUAA